Delphinapterus leucas (beluga whale) is the source of this 913-nucleotide non-coding RNA. The record is from RefSeq and is a predicted model, not a curated record. NCBI's taxonomy places the organism in Eukaryota, Metazoa, Chordata, Mammalia, Artiodactyla, Monodontidae.
AUGCGGCUGGUAUCCUAGCGAGCCUCAAGCCCUUCGCCCCGAGAAGAUGGCUGAUCCUUGGCAGGAAUGCAUGGAUUAUGCAGUAACUCUAGCAAGACAAGCUGGAGAGAUGGCUCGUGAAGCCCUAAAAAAUGAAAUGAAUAUUAUGAUCAAAAGUUCUCCAGUUGAUUUGGUAACUGCUACUGACCAAAAAGUUGAAAAAAUGCUUAUCUCUUCCAUAAAGGAAAAGUAUCCAUCUCACAGUUUCAUUGGUGAGGAAUCUGUGGCAGCUGGGGAAAAAAGUAUUUUAACUGACAGCCCUACGUGGAUCAUUGACCCUAUUGAUGGAACAACUAACUUUGUACAUGGAUUUCCUUUUGUAGCUGUUUCAAUUGGCUUUGUUGUUAAUAAAAAGAUGGAAUUUGGAAUUGUAUACAGUUGCAUGGAGGAUAAGAUGUAUGCUGGCCGGAAAGGAAAAGGUGCCUUUUGUAAUGGUCAAAAACUACAGGUUUCACGCCAAGAAGAUGUUACCAAAUCACUCUUGGUGACAGAGUUGGGCUCUUCCAGAACACCAGAGACUGUGAGAACUAUUCUUUCUAAUAUGGAAAGGCUUCUUUGCCUUCCCAUCCAUGGGAUCCGAGGUGUUGGAACAGCAGCUCUUAAUAUGUGCCUUGUGGCAGCUGGAGUUGCAGAUGCAUAUUAUGAAAUGGGAAUUCACUGCUGGGAUGUAGCAGGUGCUGGUGUUAUUGUGACUGAAGCUGGUGGAGUACUCUUGGAUGUAACAGGUGGACCAUUUGAUUUAAUGUCACGAAGAAUAAUUGCUUCAAACAAUAAGACAUUAGGGGAAAGGAUAGCCAAAGAAAUUCAGAUAAUACCUCUUCAAAGAGAUGAUGAGGAUUAAUUCUAACAGCUUCACACAUUCAAUCACAGUUGC